ACAUGAGCAUCAUGCCCGCAUGCGUGCAUCUUUCCGGGGAUCUUGCUCUUGUGCUCCCACUCCACACUCUCCUGCAUCGGUAAGGCGUCCAUGUCGGCCCUUAGGGCAACAAACGGGGGCUCACCGGUGCCGAUGAAGCCGAUCACGCCGGUGACGGCGACGGGAUGCUUGUAGGACACACCCAACCGAUCUAGCUCCUUCCUGAUGAGCUGGCUGGUCUCGAAUUCCUCGAACCCUAGCUCGGGAUUCUCGUGGAUCUUGCGGCGCACACCGAUCAUCCAGUCUAAAAAGUCCGGCUCCUGAGCUCGCCGGAGGAAUCCGGCGGCGCCGGCGGAGGGCGCCGCUGCCGAUACCGGCGGCACCGCCGCAUGGAGGAGAUGGAGGACAAGGGUUACGGAGGCG
RNAcentral lists this unclassified non-coding RNA (402 nucleotides) under Hevea brasiliensis (rubber tree). Lineage: Eukaryota; Viridiplantae; Streptophyta; Magnoliopsida; Malpighiales; Euphorbiaceae. The record is from RNAcentral.